GACGAACGCUGGCGGCGCGCCUAACACAUGCAAGUCGAACGGAGCUGAGAGGAGCUUGCUUUUCUUAGCUUAGUGGCGAACGGGUGAGUAACGCGUGAGUAACCUGCCCUGGAGUGGGGGACAACAGUUGGAAACGACUGCUAAUACCGCAUAAGCCCACGGUGCCGCAUGGUACUGAGGGAAAAGGAUUUAUUCGCUCUAGGAUGGACUCGCGUCCAAUUAGCUAGUUGGUGAGGUAACGGCCCACCAAGGCGACGAUUGGUAGCCGGACUGAGAGGUUGAACGGCCACAUUGGGACUGAGAAACGGCCCAGACUCCUACGGGAGGCAGCAGUGGGGGAUAUUGCACAAUGGGGGAAACCCUGAUGCAGCGACGCCGCGUGGAGGAAGAAGGUUUUCGGAUUGUAAACUCCUGUCGUUAGGGACGAUAAUGACGGUACCUAACAAGAAAGCACCGGCUAACUACGUGCCAGCCGCCGCGGUAA
Molecule: ribosomal RNA, 484 nt
Filed under: uncultured bacterium
Lineage: Bacteria
Description: partial 16S ribosomal RNA
Rfam family: Bacterial small subunit ribosomal RNA
Source: RNAcentral